AAAUUGAAGAGUUUGAUCAUGGCUCAGAUUGAACGCUGGCGGCAGGCCUAACACAUGCAAGUCGAACGGUAGCACAGAGAGCUUGCUCUCGGGUGACGAGUGGCGGACGGGUGAGUAAUGUCUGGGAAACUGCCUGAUGGAGGGGGAUAACUACUGGAAACGGUGGCUAAUACCGCAUAACGUCGCAAGACCAAAGAGGGGGACCUUCGGGCCUCUUGCCAUCAGAUGUGCCCAGAUGGGAUUAGCUAGUUGGUGAGGUAACGGCUCACCAAGGCGACGAUCCCUAGCUGGUCUGAGAGGAUGACCAGCCACACUGGAACUGAGACACGGUCCAGACUCCUACGGGAGGCAGCAGUGGGGAAUAUUGCACAAUGGGCGCAAGCCUGAUGCAGCCAUGCCGCGUGUAUGAAGAAGGCCUUCGGGUUGUAAAGUACUUUCAGCGGGGAGGAAGGUGUUGUGGUUAAUAACCGCAGCAAUUGACGUUACCCGCAGAAGAA
Molecule: ribosomal RNA, 497 nt
Filed under: Salmonella enterica
Lineage: Bacteria; Pseudomonadati; Pseudomonadota; Gammaproteobacteria; Enterobacterales; Enterobacteriaceae
Description: bacterial SSU rRNA
Rfam family: Bacterial small subunit ribosomal RNA
Source: RNAcentral